RNAcentral lists this unclassified non-coding RNA (652 nucleotides) under Hevea brasiliensis (rubber tree). The record is from RNAcentral. Lineage: Eukaryota; Viridiplantae; Streptophyta; Magnoliopsida; Malpighiales; Euphorbiaceae.
UGCCGUCGAUAAUCAACCAACAGUCCUUGGGAUUGUUGUGCUCAGACACCUGAGCCAAGGUGAAAACUUUCCCUUCACCACCCAUCUGAUUUCUGUUCACUUUUCUUCAAAAGCGUGAGAGAAAAACAGGGUGUGCUUGAUAUCAAGAAAAAGAUUCAAUUUUUGAGGGAUAUAAGAAGAUGGAUCUGAUGUUAAAAAGGAAAGAGUCUGACUGAGGACACAGGAGUGACGGCAAACCAAAAAGGAGGCGGGGCCUGGGCUGCGGAGUGAAGGGUGGGCCGUGGGCGUGUGGAGAGAGAGAGAGAGAGAGUAAUUUAAUAGGAGGGGUAAAGGUGAUUAAAUUGGUACUGGCUCUGGUCGGUGAUGUGGGUGCACUAGAUGCUGACUUUACUGAGCUGUUGAAGAAUCCAAGAUGUCUUGUUGGAAACUAGUUGGUACCAGUAGAUGCCUUCUUUCUCCAAGUACCAUUAUUACUAAUCUGCUACGCUUUUUGCUUUUCUGCUGCACAUUUUUCUUUUUAUCUUGAUUUCUCCUCUGGAUCUCAACGAUUAAGCGUGACAAUUAUUCUAUUUAAAUUUAAAUUUAUUUAAUUUUUUAAUAUUUAAAUUCAUUUUAAAUGAAUUAAAAUUUAUCUUUAAAUAAUUGAAUUUGU